This 499-nucleotide ribosomal RNA is filed under the name uncultured bacterium. Its description in RNAcentral is "partial 16S ribosomal RNA". It matches the Rfam family "Bacterial small subunit ribosomal RNA", at positions 28 to 523 of the family's 1533-position model. The record is from RNAcentral.
GAUGAACGCUGGCGGCGUGCCUAACACAUGCAAGUCGAGCGAGAAGUUUGAAAAAUGAGUUUUCGGACAAGUGAUUCAAACGGAAAGCGGCGGACGGGUGAGUAGCGCGUAGGCAACCUGCCCCGUGCAGAGGGACAGCCUCGGGAAACCGGGAUUAAGACCUCAUGAUAUCGGGUUAUCACAUGGUAAUCCGGUCAACGAUUUAUAGGCAUGGGAUGGGCCUGCGUCUGAUUAGCUGGUUGGUGGGGUAACGGCCUACCAAGGCGACGAUCAGUAGCAGAACUGAGAGGUUCAUCUGCCACAUUGGAACUGAGACACGGUCCAAACUCCUACGGGAGGCAGCAGUGAGGAAUAUUGCACAAUGGGCGAAAGCCUGAUGCAGCAACGCCGCGUGAGCGAAGAAGGCCUUUGGGUCGUAAAGCUCUGUCCUUGGGGAAGAAACAAAUGACGGUACCCUUGGAGGAAGCCCCGGCUAACUACGUGCCAGCAGCCGCGGUAA